RNAcentral lists this ribosomal RNA (429 nucleotides) under Actinomycetes bacterium. RNAcentral describes it as "Actinobacteria bacterium partial 16S ribosomal RNA". It matches the Rfam family "Bacterial small subunit ribosomal RNA", at positions 355 to 776 of the family's 1533-position model. Lineage: Bacteria; Bacillati; Actinomycetota; Actinomycetes. RNAcentral also lists the same sequence under 1 other name. The record is from RNAcentral.
UAGGGAAUCUUCCGCAAUGGGCGAAAGCCUGACGGAGCAACGCCGCGUGAGUGAUGAAGGUCUUCGGAUCGUAAAACUCUGUUAUUAGGGAAGAACAAAUGUGUAAGUAACUAUGCACGUCUUGACGGUACCUAAUCAGAAAGCCACGGCUAACUACGUGCCAGCAGCCGCGGUAAUACGUAGGUGGCAAGCGUUAUCCGGAAUUAUUGGGCGUAAAGCGCGCAUAGGCGGUUUUUUAAGUCUGAUGUGAAAGCCCACGGCUCAACCGUGGAGGGUCAUUGGAAACUGGAAAACUUGAGUGCAGAAGAGGAAAGUGGAAUUCCAUGUGUAGCGGUGAAAUGCGCAGAGAUAUGGAGGAACACCAGUGGCGAAGGCGACUUUCUGGUCUGUAACUGACGCUGAUGUGCGAAAGCGUGGGGAUCAAACAGG